This 418-nucleotide long non-coding RNA is filed under the name Homo sapiens (human). RNAcentral's name for it is "HSALNT0039737". The record is from RNAcentral. Lineage: Eukaryota; Metazoa; Chordata; Mammalia; Primates; Hominidae.
GAGGAUCUGCCCAUCAAGUAGAGAGCCCGGCCACUUUUCUGUAGGGCUGCUGUGGUAUGCUGGGGGUCCCCUCCAGUCCCUAAUUGCCUUGUAUUUUCCACGGAAGAUGAUAGUCUGCCCCUUCCUCUGGAAGCUCUGUACCACUGAGGUACGAACCUGUUGCCAAUCUGAACACACCUAUAAGAUGUGGCUGGAGGCAAGUUGAGAAGUCUUACCUAGUCAGGACGAACGAGAACAGGGACUUGCUUCAAAAAAAAAAGUCUGGCCACAGAACAGCAGUCAAGGUAGCCAGAGACCCUGGUUGAAAGACUUCACCCGCUGACUAGAAAUGUGAUCAGGGACUGACGUAAACAAGAGUCUGGCCACGUUUUUGUAGCGUGGCUGUGCUGUGCUGAGGUACCUCUUCCACCCCUUGUCA